Acanthosepion pharaonis is the source of this 111-nucleotide non-coding RNA. The record is from the annotation of a GenBank genome assembly. Lineage: Eukaryota; Metazoa; Mollusca; Cephalopoda; Sepiida; Sepiidae.
CGACCGUAUUACGUUGAAAUACCGGUGCCCGUACGAUCACCGAAGUUAAGCAACGUUGAGAUUGAUCUGUACCUAGAUGAGUGAUCGAUUGGGAGUACCAGAUGAUGUAAG